GAUAAACGCUAGCGGCAGGCUUAACACAUGCAAGUCGAGGGGCAGCAUAGAUUGUAGCAAUACAAUUGGUGGCGACCGGCGCACGGGUGCGUAACGCGUAUGCAACCUACCCGUCACAGGGGGAUAAUCCGGAGAAAUCUGGUCUAAUACCCCAUAACAUAUGGAUCGGCAUCGGUUCAUGUUGAAAUUUUCGGAGGUGACGGAUGGGCAUGCGUAGCAUUAGCUUGUUGGUGAGGUAACGGCCCACCAAGGCGACGAUGCUUAGGGGGACUGAGAGGUUUUCCCCCCAAACAGGUACUGAGACACGGACCAGACUCCUACGGGAGGCAGCAGUGAGGAAUAUUGGUCAAUGGGCGCAAGCCUGAACCAGCCAUGCCGCGUGCAGGAUGACGGCUCUAUGAGUUGUAAACUGCUUUUGUACGAGGGUAAAGUGGGUUACGUGUAACCUUUUGAAAGUAUCGUACGAAUAAGGAUCGGCUAACUCCGUGCCAGCAGCCGCCGUAA
Molecule: ribosomal RNA, 504 nt
Filed under: uncultured bacterium
Lineage: Bacteria
Description: partial 16S ribosomal RNA
Rfam family: Bacterial small subunit ribosomal RNA
Source: RNAcentral